UACAGAGGUCUCAAGCGUUGUUCGGAUUCAUUGGGCGUAAAGGGCGCGUAGGCGGCGGGGUCAGUCGGGUGUGAAAUCUUGGGGCUUAACCCCGAAACGGCACUCGAAACUGCCCGGCUGGAGGGCCGGAGAGGAGAUCGGAAUUCACGGUGUAGCAGUGAAAUGCGUAGAGAUCGUGAGGAAGACCCGUGGCGAAGGCGGACCUCUGGACGGCUAACUGACGCUGAGGCGCGAAGGCCAGGGGAGCAAACGGG
Molecule: ribosomal RNA, 254 nt
Filed under: uncultured bacterium
Lineage: Bacteria
Description: partial 16S ribosomal RNA
Rfam family: Bacterial small subunit ribosomal RNA
Source: RNAcentral